GACGAACGCUGGCGGCGUGCUUAACACAUGCAAGUCGAACGGAAAGGCCCUGCUUUUGUGGGGUGCUCGAGUGGCGAACGGGUGAGUAACACGUGAGUAACCUGCCCUUGACUUUGGGAUAACUUCAGGAAACUGGGGCUAAUACCGGAUAGGAGCUCCUGCUGCAUGGUGGGGGUUGGAAAGUUUCGGCGGUUGGGGAUGGACUCGCGGCUUAUCAGCUUGUUGGUGGGGUAGUGGCUUACCAAGGCUUUGACGGGUAGCCGGCCUGAGAGGGGGACCGGCCACAUUGGGACUGAGAUACGGCCCAGACUCCUACGGGAGGCAGCAGUGGGGAAUAUUGCACAAUGGGCGGAAGCCUGAUGCAGCAACGCCGCGUGCGGGAUGACGGCCUUCGGGUUGUAAACCGCUUUCGCCUGUGACGAAGCGUGAGUGACGGUAAUGAGUAAAGAAGCACCGGCUAACUACGUG
Molecule: ribosomal RNA, 468 nt
Filed under: uncultured bacterium
Lineage: Bacteria
Description: partial 16S ribosomal RNA
Rfam family: Bacterial small subunit ribosomal RNA
Source: RNAcentral